GAUGAACGCUGGCGGCGUGCCUAAUACAUGCAAGUCGAGCGAACAGACGAGGAGCUUGCUCCUCUGACGUUAGCGGCGGACGGGUGAGUAACACGUGGAUAACCUACCUAUAAGACUGGGAUAACUUCGGGAAACCGGAGCUAAUACCGUAUAAUAUAUUGAACCGCAUGGUUCAAUAGUGAAAGACGGUUUUGCUGUCACUUAUAGAUGGAUCCGCGCCGCAUUAGCUAGUUGGUAAGGUAACGGCUUACCAAGGCGACGAUGCGUAGCCGAACUGAGAGGGUGAUCGGCCACACUGGAACUGAGACACGGUCCAGACUCCUACGGGAGGCAGCAGUAGGGAAUCUUCCGCAAUGGGCGAAAGCCUGACGGAGCAACGCCGCGUGAGUGAUGAAGGUCUUCGGAUCGUAAAACUCUGUUAUUAGGGAAGAACAUAUGUGUAAGUAACUGUGCACAUCUUGACGGUACCUAAUCAGAAAGCCACGGCUAACUACGUG
RNAcentral lists this ribosomal RNA (497 nucleotides) under uncultured bacterium. RNAcentral's name for it is "partial 16S ribosomal RNA". It matches the Rfam family "Bacterial small subunit ribosomal RNA", at positions 28 to 507 of the family's 1533-position model. The record is from RNAcentral.